AAUCCAUUGCAUUACCGGCACGAGGCAAGCGUGUUACUUUGCUUAUGGAUUGACCAAAUGAGACCGUGGGUUUUUAUUUAAAUAAACACCCUCUCCCACUCAAUCUUUUAGAAUAAUGGAUAUUAAUUGAAAUAAUUACCAACUAUUCAUAUUAAUUAAAUUAAUAUACAGUUUAAUUAUUACAAUUUUUCUAUUCAGAAAAAUUUAAUUUAAAUUAAAUUAAUCAAAGAAAAAUCCGUGUUUAAUGCUAUACAUCCUAUUCAUAGUAUCACGAACGAUGUCACAAAUAAAUAUAUAUGUCAUGAUAUCUAGAAUGACAGUAUUUCAAACAAUAAUUUAAAGCAUUCAUAAAGCGAUAAAUUAGUAAUUAUUUGUGGCCCAAACACGACUCAAGAAAUAAAUUAAAACCUAAUUGGAUCCAAGCCCAAUAUCUAAUCUAAAUCUUCAGUCCAAAAUAUUCAAGGAUCCAGUGUAGCAAUUCUAACAACAAUAAGACACUGUCCAAAACAAAAUUCCAAUUGACCCAUUGCGUAAAUAUAGAUGCUGCUUCUAAUCCUUCUGCCGCAAUUCGAUGCAUCUAUCAUGGCAGUUCCCCAUCAACAGCAAUUUAUUCCAUUAUUUAAUUCUUUUUUUUUUUUGCAAAGCUUGUUUGUCAUCAAUGUUACCCUUUGGAGAAUUAAUAACCCAAUUGUGCCGUUCAGAAUAUUUAUUUGUUGAUGGUGGCCCACAUUUCUAGAACCAAGGCAAUUAACUAUAUUGGUUUGUUGUCCAACAUGUAAUAUUCCAGCCUUUUUACGAACGGACCAUGGACGAUCACUUUGUGCAAUUGAAACUACCAUCCUUUUUUUUUUUUUUGAAUUUUUCAUCCUGCGUCUUCAAUCUUCGUCUUUGUCUUCAAUCAAUUCGCAAGAUUCAAAAAUUACAAGAAUUACAUAAAUUCCUAUAUCCCGUAGGCUCACAAAUUUUGAAUCUAAUUGAACAGAAAAUUAUAUCAAGAUGAUGGAGUCGUAAUCCACCUAUAUUGUUACAGACUCGAAAUAACGAAUUACAAUCAAGAACUGGCCACAAAUAAUUAGUUCACAAUUUAAAAUAAUCCAAUCAUUCAAUCAACAUAUAAUAAAUUAUUCCUAGACAUUGCUCAACUAGAACAUGCAAUCAAGAUUCAUAAAUAACAAGGACGUGAAUGAUCUAGAUUGCUCUGAUACCAGUCGUUGGAAUGCGGAAGCGUAAUUAUCCAGAAUUAAAAUUUUCUUUAAUUCAAUAAGCAAGAUCGUCUAGAUGUUCACGUGUAUGUUAUAUCAAAAUUAAAGGAUUCGAAUAAUUUGCUUAAGUUCAAUGAUCAACCUUGAAUUAACUUUGAUCCGCGAACUUCCAUCUCCUUUAAUUGCAAGAAUCUUGGUGUUUCAGAUCUUCAAGCCUUCUAUGGUAUUCUUCAACGCAAAGACAACACCGGUGUGUGGGCACCUUCUUUCAAUUAAUCCAGAAACUAAUUCUUGAAUUUUGGAUAACAAGAAAAUAAAUUAUUUUCCCUCUCUUUUUCUCUCUCUCGCUCUUCCUA
This 1558-nucleotide long non-coding RNA is filed under the name Olea europaea subsp. europaea. Lineage: Eukaryota; Viridiplantae; Streptophyta; Magnoliopsida; Lamiales; Oleaceae. The record is from RNAcentral.